GACAGACCAUGACGAAGAUCGAUCGACAGAUCACUCUAGACAUCGAUCGACGUCAUCUGCUGAAUCGACUGCGGAGUGUAGUGCAGUUCGAAUCAUGACUCAUGAGGAAUUUGCGAAGAAGCAUCCUCACCCAUCCUCCCCUUUCUAUGUCAAAAUCGAUCGACCGCUUGAGCCAGCAGUCGACCGACAGAGAGACCGGCAUCGAUCGACACCCCUCACCUACCGAGUGCGGUUACCAUCUUUUGAUAAUGACCGAAUUAAC
RNAcentral lists this long non-coding RNA (262 nucleotides) under Brassica napus (rape). RNAcentral's name for it is "long non-coding RNA (BNAP_LNC016575)". Lineage: Eukaryota; Viridiplantae; Streptophyta; Magnoliopsida; Brassicales; Brassicaceae. The record is from RNAcentral.